CUACUUUAAAUACUGGAGGAACCAAAGGAAGCCCACAGUCUGACAGCAAAGUGCUCUAAUGGGUGAUACGGUACCACGAGGGCAUUAAUAUAAGAUCAUUUGUAACCUUCACUAAAGCUGAUUCUGUGCUGUGAUGAGCUCUGAAACCUGACCGGCAGGACUUCUUUGAGCAGUUUUGUAGGAAUGGAGGAAGUAAUCACCGAAGUUAACUGAGAAAGAUGAACUCUGUGUUUCUAACAGGUGGACCUUCUGCUGUGGUUCCUACUCCAAGUAAAAGUCGGCCUUCUGUUGGUCUUGAUCCUCCAACAAACACUCACUCCCUCACCUACAUCUACACGGCGCUCUCCAAACCUGUCGGCCUCCCGGGCAUCCACGAGUUCA
Molecule: long non-coding RNA, 381 nt
Organism: Haplochromis burtoni (Burton's mouthbrooder)
Lineage: Eukaryota; Metazoa; Chordata; Actinopteri; Cichliformes; Cichlidae
Exons: 3
Source: RefSeq, a predicted model, not a curated record